This 1025-nucleotide ribosomal RNA is filed under the name Halomonas sp. LZD049. Its description in RNAcentral is "bacterial SSU rRNA". It matches the Rfam family "Bacterial small subunit ribosomal RNA", at positions 44 to 1065 of the family's 1533-position model. Lineage: Bacteria; Pseudomonadati; Pseudomonadota; Gammaproteobacteria; Oceanospirillales; Halomonadaceae. The record is from RNAcentral.
ACGGAGACUACCAUGCAGUCGAGCGGUAACAGAUCCAGCUUGCUGGAUGCUGACGAGCGGCGGACGGGUGAGUAAUGCAUAGGAAUCUGCCCGAUAGUGGGGGAUAACCUGGGGAAACCCAGGCUAAUACCGCAUACGUCCUACGGGAGAAAGGGGGCUCCGGCUCCCGCUAUGGGAUGAGCCUAUGUCGGAUUAGCUAGUUGGUGAGGUAACGGCUCACCAAGGCCACGAUCCGUAGCUGGUCUGAGAGGAUGAUCAGCCACAUCGGGACUGAGACACGGCCCGAACUCCUACGGGAGGCAGCAGUGGGGAAUAUUGGACAAUGGGGGAAACCCUGAUCCAGCCAUGCCGCGUGUGUGAAGAAGGCCCUCGGGUUGUAAAGCACUUUCAGCGAGGAAGAACGCCUAGCGGUUAAUACCCGCUAGGAAAGACAUCACUCGCAGAAGAAGCACCGGCUAACUCCGUGCCAGCAGCCGCGGUAAUACGGAGGGUGCAAGCGUUAAUCGGAAUUACUGGGCGUAAAGCGCGCGUAGGUGGCUUGAUAAGCCGGUUGUGAAAGCCCCGGGCUCAACCUGGGAACGGCAUCCGGAACUGUCAAGCUAGAGUGCAGGAGAGGAAGGUAGAAUUCCCGGUGUAGCGGUGAAAUGCGUAGAGAUCGGGAGGAAUACCAGUGGCGAAGGCGGCCUUCUGGACUGACACUGACACUGAGGUGCGAAAGCGUGGGUAGCAAACAGGAUUAGAUACCCUGGUAGUCCACGCCGUAAACGAUGUCGACCAGCCGUUGGGUGCCUAGCGCACUUUGUGGCGAAGUUAACGCGAUAAGUCGACCGCCUGGGGAGUACGGCCGCAAGGUUAAAACUCACAUGAAUUGACGGGGGCCCGCACAAGCGGUGGAGCAUGUGGUUUAAUUCGAUGCAACGCGAAGAACCUUACCUACUCUUGACAUCCUGCGAAUUUGGUAGAGAUACCUUUAGUGCCUUCUGGAACGCAGAGACAGGUGCUGCAUGGCUGUCGUCAGCUCGUGU